RNAcentral lists this ribosomal RNA (456 nucleotides) under uncultured Synergistaceae bacterium. Its description in RNAcentral is "bacterial SSU rRNA". It matches the Rfam family "Bacterial small subunit ribosomal RNA", at positions 925 to 1382 of the family's 1533-position model. The record is from RNAcentral. Lineage: Bacteria; Thermotogati; Synergistota; Synergistia; Synergistales; Synergistaceae.
ACAAGCGGUGGAGCAUGUGGUUUAAUUCGAUGAUACGCGAGGAACCUUACCUGGGCUCAAAUGUAUGUUGACGUAUUCUGAAAGGGAUACUUCUUCGGACAAUAUACAAGGUGCUGCAUGGUUGUCGUCAGCUCGUGCCGUGAGGUGUCGGGUUAAGUCCCAUAACGAGCGCAACCCCUAUCAUUAGUUGCCAUCGGGUAAUGCCGGGCACUCUGGAAGGACUGCCAUCGACAAGAUGGAGGAAGGUGGGGAUGACGUCAAGUCAUCAUGGCCCUUAUGUCCAGGGCGACACACGUGCUACAAUGGCCGGCACAACGGGAAGCGAGUUCGCGAGGACGAGCGGAUCCCUCAAAGCCGGUCGCAGUUCGGAUUGAAGUCUGCAACUCGACUUCAUGAAGCUGGAAUCGCUAGUAAUCGUGGAUCAGCCAAGCCGCGGUGAAUACGUUCCCGGGCCUU